ACUUGCUGAGCGUUCAGAGAUCUGUCAGGGCCAGAGGCCUCUGGGUAGCCUAGGCUAGGAGAUGACACGCAAGGUGGCACGGGCGGUUCCCGUGGGGAGGAGGUGGGGUGGUGGUGGGGGGCAGGGGUGGGAGCAAGAGGUUGUGGGGCGACGGUGGAGGGUUUGAUGGGACCAAAUUCUGGAACAUUCGGGACUGCGGCACCUUACGGCGGGACCAAGAUUUGGGUCUGCGCAGGCGGCGAUGGGUGGUCCGACGGGCUUCAGGACUUGAUGGCGUAACCCCCUUCUUCCCCCACAGGACUCAGGAGAGUGCAGCUUGCUCUGUGAGUGGGUGACAACCUCUUGGCGACUCAGGCUCAGCUGAGGAUGGUGCCAGUGUGCCGGAGACAGCCGUCAUACUGCCGGAUAGAGUGGCUCACUUGCAUGUAUUUGGAACAAAAAAAGGAGAUGCCUGGCAGCCCCGCUCUCUGCAGUGCUGUUGAGCCACCAAUUUUUGUGGUUUUGUGACCACAAGUGCUGACUGAUGCGACAUGACCCCAGUCUUGUCAGUGAAUCAUCACCAGGCUGCUUACUGGAAACUGGAUGCAGCAAGGAAAUAGGAUUUAACCGCUCUCUGCCUCCCAGGAGCCCUGAAAUCAGCAUUCCCAGAGGAAAGAAGAUGGCCAUCUGGGCUUGGCUUCCGGCUCCCCCCAUCUGGCUGGAACACACAUCAGUCACGUAAGUAGCUGUGACUCAGCACCCAGCACUGCCUUGGCAGAACCUUCCCACGUUCUGGAUUUGCACACACUGUGGUAGCGCAGCACAAGCAAGCAGGGUUAGGUAACUGGGGACCAGUGUCUGUUUGUUCAGUGGGUUUGCCUAUGGAUUUCAGAAAGAAGGAUUCCCUCACCUUCCCAUUUUCCUCCCAUGUUAUUUUUUAGGUACCAUGCUAGGCUUUAAAGACAAAGCAUCAUUUAUAGAAUGAAGUAGAAGCUGUCUUUGCAGUCUCCAAACUAUUUUUAACCAACAGCCUAUAGAUGGUAUUUAACCCUCAGGUGUGUUUGGCCUGCACGGGUUUUUGUUUUUGUUUGAGACAGGGUUUCACUCUGUAGCCCAGGCUGGAGUGCAGUGGCACGAUAUCAGCUUGCUGCAACCUCUGCCUCCCGGGCUCGAGCAGUUCUCAUGCCUCAGCCUCCUGAGUAGCUGGGACUACAGGUGCCACCACACCUGGCUAGGGUUAUUUUAAUGUAUCUGAUUUUGCAUGCAUUUAGACAAAAUAUGGCCUCUCCAGUUCACUGUAUUUCUGCUGCAUGCUGUUGCUGCUUCUCUGUCUCAGGUUUCCUGCCCAAGCCCUCCGAGCAUUUGAAUGUGCUGUGAGCAGCCUACCUCAGCCUCCUCUCUUUACACAUGAAGACACUGAGGCCCAUUCAGGGCAAGUGGCAGGUCCCUGUUCUCAGAGUUGGGGCCAAGCAGGUAUUAAAACCAUUGUGUUCUGAUUCACUGUGUGCCCAAGCAGAUUAAUGCCCUGGUGUGAGGUCGAGAAGCCUCCAGGUAGAAUGUGGGGACAGAAGUGGACCAGGCUAGAGUAUAGCUCCCACACCUUUCCCAUGCGUGGCAGCACUCGUAAGACUGACAUGCCCACCCUUCUGGAUGGGUGGUUUUCCUCCCCAGACAGCCCUGCCAACCCUUUCACCUUCAGCCAGUUUGUUUGGAGUCAUUAGGCUGAGGUGGGUAAAACCCAUCACCCUCCUUGGAUGGCAGAGCUCUCAGCAGGCUGGGAUUUUCAUGGGCUGCCUUCUUACAGGUCUAGGUGGCCUUCAGGCAUGGUGCCAGGGAAAGCAAGCCCCUUCCAGCCCUUACCAAACUAACUGGCUGCUUCCUAGUAGGGAACAGCCACCAGCUUGUUUCAGCGAAGAGUCAUUGCUCAGCUGAUUCUGAGAGGAGAAAACUGGUUCUGUUGGGAGGGCUGAGACCUGAAGGACCCCUUUUAUCCAGUGGAAUUGGAAAGGCAAAGGAUUUCAAUACUAACAUGAUUUUUUUCUCCACUUCUUUUAGAGUGUUUAAUUAAAGUGAUGCAUUGUUAAUGGCUUCUUAUCUCUUCUUCCAGAGAGUAAAGAGUUAAAUUUUAGAAUCCAGGAGUGGGGACCCAGACUGUGGCUUCUGUUAACUCCCUCAGUGGCAGUGGCGUCCUGCUAUGCACAGCCCCUCUGCUGUACUCCGAAUGGUCCCUUACGGGUAGCAGGAGAGACAUUAAAUAAUCACACUGAUGACCAAGUGAGAUAAGUGGUUUUUGAAGGAAAGAACUUGAGGCUGGCGAGGACCACUUAACCUUCUAGCAAGGGCUGGACUCAGGGAGGCUUUCCUGAGCUGCGGGGAGGAUGACAGGUUCCCUGGAGUGGUGGUGGGUGGGGGCGGGGCUGAGGGGUGGUAGCCAAGGGAGGGUGAAGGAGAGUAUUCCAGAAGAGACAACAGCUUAGGCAGGCAGGACCUCGCCAUGGAGGAAGGUGCUUUCUGAUCACUGCGGGACACCUGUGUGAUAGCUCAUAGGGAGGGGGUACUGGUAACUAAAAGUUGAUAAGGAAGAGUGGCUAAAAUGAAAAGCAGAAAAGUGAGAAUCUCAUCAAAUCCCCUCAUUUGACAGGAUUUGGACUCCCAGUAGUAACUGUCCUUAAACACUCACUCCUGACCUUACAACCCUGGCUGUUACCUGGUUAACAAGCCCCAGGUGUUGGCUACAGGUGUCAUCACUGAGAGCCCUUGUGUGCAGAUCUGCCCCAGCUCUCCCACCUGUGACUGAGGCUAGCAAGUCCCCCGUGGGCUGUAGAGCCUAGCGCUGGUGUCAGAAUCGCUUGUUGCAGGUUCAUCUUCAGUGUCUUUCCCACAGCCACAUGCUGGGGAAAGACGGCAAAGGCGCUAGAGGAGCAGGAGAACAAAGCAAGCUGCCCCAGACCACCCGGCUUUCGCAGAACCCAGAUGAUGCUCCUGUCUCCCCCUAAGUAUAACGUGUUAUGUAGUCAGUAUGAUCCCAUUCAGUGCAGAAGUAUCGCCUAGGAAUUUCCUGCCCCACCCACCCUGUUUUGUUCUUAAUGAAGUUCAAGAACAAAAUGAGAUGAUAGUCAAGUUAUGGAGCAGGCUGCAGUGGAUACAAGGGCAGAAACACAGUCUUUGGAGUUAGACCUGGGAUCUGCAUUGAUUGGUUGUGUGACUGCAGACAAGUUAUUUAGCCUCAUUAAGGAUGAAUUUCUUCGCAAAAAUUGGAAUAAUACCUGCCCCAUACGACUGUUGUGAGAAUUAAACACCGCAACUUUUGAUGUUCAAAUUCUAUUUCUUCUCCUUCUAGCAACACAUACUGUUAGUGCCAGGAACCAUAAAAAUUAUAAGGCUGUAUCUAGAGGCCUGAAAGGAAGCUAAAAUAUACAGUGUCUACUCUGUCUCUUUUCUCUUGGUUAUGGUAUCAGAGGAAAUACACAUAUUUUCUUAGCUUCAAACCACCAAAAAAGAUGAUGCAGUAAGGAGAUGGGAAAUCUAAUUUGGAAUACAGUGUGCAAAUCUUAUUUUCAAGCAGACUUUGAAAAUAAAACUCAAUUCUUACGUUAGAGGAUUAUCUGCUUAAUACAAUUAUAGGGUACCAGUUUUUGAAGUCACAUCGGGGUUAAAUAAGAUUGCAGGUUCAUGGGGUCAUAUUUGAAUGUUCUGAUACUUACAUAUGGGGUGGGAAGGAGGAAUGCAUGCUUUUCUCAAGUUAAGACACAUAAAAGAGUUGUCCUGGCCCAGGUGAGACUCGCCUUUGUGUAGCAGCUGGAGCUUCAUUCCACAGGCAGAUAGGGUGCUUGUGUCCUGAUGAAGUAAGAGAAUAUAUCUGGAAACACUUUGUGUACUGUGAAAUACUAUACAAAUGCAGGGCAGUACAAAUGUAAAUAUUAAUGUAUUUUAGUAAUAAUUUUAGCUUUUAUUUCAUCAUAUAUAAUAAUUUGUAGUGACUGGUGUGAAGUUAAAUAGAAUUAACCUAGAAUUAAUGAGUUUUGUAUUGCUCUCAUCUAUUUGAAGCAUCAGCUGUGCCUUUCAUGUUGCCUUGUGCAGCCCUGUGUAACCUCCUCUGUGCCUUUCCCAUGGAGCACUGUGUCAUAUCACAAGUAGAACUACAAGAAGAUAUUUCUCCUCAGGGCAGAGGCUGGGUCUUCCGAUUGAAUCUCCCUUCUUUCUUCAUUGAGAUCCUCUUCUUCUGGAAGCUGGUUUCACAUGGUGGCUUAGAUUUUUCCAUCUUUGUAUCUAGCACCAUUUGAAAUCAGUGUUUUAGGAGUAAGAAUUGCAGCACAGCCAAGGGUGGACUGCAGAGGAACUGCUGCUCAUGGAACUGGCUCCUCUCCUCUUGCCACUUGAGUCUGUUCGAGAAGUCCAGGGAAGAACUUGAAGAGCAAAAUACACUCUUGAGUUUGUUGGGUUUUGGGAGAGGUGACAGUAGAGAAGGGGGUUGUGUUUAAAAUAAACACAGUGGCUUGAGCAGGGGCAGAGGUUGUGAUGCUAUUUCUGUUGACUCCUAGCAGCCAUCACCAGCAUGAAUGUGUUCGUAGGGCCUUUGAGUGUGGCGAUUGUCAUAUUCUGUUGGAUAACAAUGUAUUGGGUGUCGAUUGUCAUGGGGCAGGGGAGAGGGCAGUACACCUGGAGGACCAUUUUGUCCACAUCGACACCAUCAGUCUGCUCUUAGAGGAUGCCCUGGAGUAUUCGGCGUUGAUUGCGGGGCACCCGAAAUCAGACUUGCCACCUGGACUGUCGAGGUGCAGACCCUGGGAGCACCACUGGCCCAUCUCUUACACAGGCUGACCGAUUUCUCCUGGUGUUCAGAGUCUGUUUUUGUCUAGCACCAUUUGAAAUCGGUUAUGAUGUAGGGGGAAAAGCAGCAGCCUCGAAGCCUCAUGCCAACUCUGGGCAGCAGCAGCCUGUGGUUUCCUGGAAGAUGGAUGGGCAGAGAAUAGGGAAGGAAGAUCAUGCUUUUCCCUACUAACUUCUGUAACUGCAUGUAUGAUACAUUAUUGCAGAGGUAAGAGAUAGUUUAAUGGAUUUUUAAAAACAAAUUACUAUAAUUUAUCUGAUGUUCUCUAGUUGCAUUUUGCUGAAAUGUAGUGCUGUUCUAAAUUCUGUAAAUUGAUUGCUGUUGAAUUAUCUUUCUGUUGAGAAGAGUCUAUUCAUGCAUCCUGACCUUAAUAAAUACUAUGUUCAGUUUAUCAUGUCUGUGUUUUUCAUCUAUUAUUUCCCAUUCAUAAUUCUGUGAUGAUAAGAAGUGGGUCCUGAAAAAUUAAUUGGCUGUGCAGAUCUUGCCUACUUCAUAAAGAAUUUGAAGUAGGUUACAGCCAGCCAGACAUUAAAAAUGAAGCCCAUUAAGAGAAGAAUGAAAUUCUAUGAGCCAAGAAAUAAAAUGAGAGAAAAGAUUAGGGAAGAGAAGAAAUGUUGAAGAUCAAGGCUGAGGGAUGCUCCCUACUGAAUGGGAAAACUCCUUAGUUCCACAUGGGCUGUAGACACAGCCCUUCUGCCAGCAACUGUUCCUGCAAGGAACUGGUGCUCAACUAAACAUACUGUCACAUGGUUCCUUGAAGGGGCACAGCACUGAUUUCACUUGCAUUAUAAAAGAUUGAGUGGUGCUUUUGACUAUUAGUUUAUGUCAACACUUCAAAACAAGAUGAGCCAGUUUUUUUUUGUUUUUUUUUUUUGUUUGUUUGUUUGUUUUAGACGGAGUCUCACCCUGUCACCCAGGCUGGAGUGCAAUGGCACUGUCCCCGCUCACUGCAACCUCCGCCUCCCGGGUUCAAGCAAUUCUGCCUCAGCCUUCCGAGUAGCUGGGAUUACAGGCGUGGCACCUCCACGCCCAGCUAAUUUCUGUAUUUUGUAGUAGAGACGGGGUUUCAUCAUGUUGGCCAGGCUUGUCUCGAACUGCUGACCCCGUGAUCCACCCACCUCAGCCUCCCAAAGUGCUGGGAUUACAGGCGUGAACCACCUCGCCUGGCCCAGUGAGCCAGUUUUGUAAAGCUAUUCAGAGAUUAGCCAGAUUUGAUUUGAUAGGGGAUCAAGCUUGUAGGAUCUUCAGGAAGGCGGGCUGUGGCCCCUUGAUCAGGCUUUUUGCACAGGAGGUGCAUGACUAUGAACUACCCUCAGUAGAACUCUUUUAAGCCAGUGGCUUGCAAUAAAUGAUGGCAAAUCAGCCACCUAGGAAGCCAUUUCUAAGCCCAACCCCCUGCCACAGUCUUCCUCUAGAUGGCUGCCCUGCCCAGUGGGCUGAGAGUGGGGGGCGGAAGUAGCAUUUGCUGGGAAGACUUGCCAGUACAUAUGUUGCACCCCCUCACUGCAGCUGCAGUGCUAUUUCAGGCUGUUGAUGGAAGAACCCAUGUUCUAAUCCCCAGGAUGUGGUGGGAAGACCCUAAGUGGUGGUGUUAGUUAAGACCCUAAGUUAUAUUGUUUUGUUCACUUCCCACUGAGAUAGGCUACAAUAGUAUUAAAUACCUAUAGGUCAGACAUUUUUGGGGUCUGUUGUACUACCUACCAAUUAAACAGUUUUUGAUCCGCCCACCACGCUCAAAGCUCCAGCCUAGGUGUUGCAAAUACAGACGACAGAUUUUUGCUCUCAGGAGGCCCUGAUUCCAGUCCUCAAACGAGUAAGUGUGAAAUUGAGUGCAGCAUUAAAGCACAAAAACAAUGAUUUGAGACGUCUUUUCUAUAAAAGAAGUUUAUAGCACUCUCAUUGAAUGCUUAAAUAGUGCCACACUGCUAAGUCGUGAGAAGCAAAAUGUAACUGCGGUGCCUCAAACAGGAUUAUUUUGUUUUAUUCAUUUGGAUGCGGACAGCUCUUUAUCUAAAAUUGCCAUUCUGAGGUGGUUUUGCACAAUAAAUUGGUAAUUAUGUAGACUGUUUCUUCCAGAGACAGCAUCUUGAAUCGGGUUUAUGAAGCCAUGCUAUCAACCUAGGUAGAAAAUGCUUUGUAGGACAUGGGUCCUGCUUAUCUAAAUUUUACCAGAUUUUAUUAGCUGUAAAUUUAUAAGCGGGUCUUGGUGAAUAGAUAAUGAAAAAAAUAUUGAGUGGGGAGGCUUAUUAGACUGACAGCACCUUCAAGACUCAUGCAAGUUGGACUGGAAAAUCCCACCUGUGGAAGUAAAACACUGAUGAGUCCUUAAUAAAUAUGGAUGAGACAAGUCAAAUAUUUGGCCAAUUUAGGUGAAACAGAAAUAAGUCUAGAACUGGACAAUUAUUUGUGUAACAUACUGGCCCAGACCUUCACUUUGAGAAGCUGGUGUGUAGUUUCAGGAGAGUACCUGGCAGACUAGUGUGUCCAUACUUCGAUGGAGCUUGAGAGUUUUCCUUGAACACAAAAGUUGUAUUUUUGAGUUUAUUCUAGUAUGAUGGUGCCCUACCCUAUCUUCCUAUUCAGUUCACCCAAAGAGCCUUUAAAUUAGUGUUCCCUUGGUCCCAUCCCUACAGUCUCUGGUUUUGCUGGUCUGGGAAUGGGUCUGGACAUCACUGUUGUUUUAAAGUUGAGAGCCUCUCUUCUGUGGUCUUGUUCCUAAAACGCUUUACUACUCACUGUGGUCUGAGGGCCCCCAGCACUGGUGUGUUAGUUUCCUGUGGCUGCCCUAAAAAAUUACCACAAACAUGGUGUCUUAAAACAACACACAUUUGUACAGUUACAGAUUCCAGAAGCCUGCAAUCAGCUCACUGGACUGCAAGGGCCACCCGCCCUCUCAGAAGCGCCGGGAGAGAACAGGUUUUCUUGCCUUCUUCAGCUGCUAGAGCUGCGUUCUUUGGCUUGCACCCCCUUCCUCUGUCUUCCAAGCCAGCGGGGCAGUCUUUUGCUUCAGUGGCCAUGUUGUCUUCUGGCACAGUCACAUCUCCCCCUGCCUCCCUCUUAGAAGGACCCUUGUGGUUACAUUUAGGGCCCCCACCUGGAUAAUCCAGGAUAAUCUCCCUAUUUCAAUUUUCUUAAUCUCAUCUGUAAAGACCCUUUUGCCAUAUAAAGUAACAUUCACAGGUUCCAGGUAUUAGGACUUGGAUAUCUUUAGAGGCCAUCAUACAGCCCACCACAAACAGCUCCUUAGGCACUCAUUAGAAAUGCAGAACCUCAGGCCCCAACCGAUACCUUUUGAAUCUUCUGAUUCUAAUUUAAGAAGAUCACCAUGUAACUCACUAGCACACUAAGACUUGAGAAGCACGAUGCUAUGGGAACCUAACCAAAGAAUUCUCAAGUCCCAACUUAAAUACAAAUUUACAGAGUAUUUUUCCUAGGAACGCUUUCAGGUGGAGGAGAUUAAUCAGACGAUAGAUAAUUUUCCUGAACACCAUUCUGAAGUGCUUCUCUAAGCAUUUGUUCCUGAAUUCUCUCUCAAUGAAGCCACAAGCCCCAAACACCAGGAUUACUGUUUACAGGGGUUCCUGUUUACAGUAGUUUAGCACAGGGUUUGCCACACUGCAGCAUAUUAUUAUAGUUUAGUUUUGUAAAAAGCUACAUGAGAGAGGUAAAUCUUAUAAAUGGAGGUGGAGUCUCCUAACACCAGUUUUACCACCUCUGUACAGGUUUCCCUGGGCUAUGUACUAUCGAAUCAGGAAUCAGGAAGGGCGGCUUUUUCAAAUGUUAUCUAUACUUUUGGCAAUUUGUUCAAACGUUCUGCUGGUAUGUGAGAGGGAAGGAAAAAUUGUUUAUUGACCACAGAUCCACAAUAUUAUACUUCUCCUAUACUUAAGCAAUAAGGGACAGCAUUUAAAACUCUUUUAAAAAUGUUAAUCUUGGCUGGGCACAGUGGCUCAUGCCUGGAUCCCCAGUAAUUUGGAACACUGAGGCAGGCAGAUUGCUUGAGGCCAGGAGUUCGAGACUAGCUUGGGCAACAUGCGAGAGCCCGUCUCUACAAAAAAAAAAAAAAAAUACAAAAAUUAUCCAGGCAUGGUGGUGCACACCUGUAGUCCCAGCUGUUGGGGAAAGCUAAGUUGGGAGGAUCCCUUGAACCCAGGAGGUUGAGGCUGCAGUAAGCUGUGAUUGAGCCACUGAGCUCCAGCCUGGGUGACAGAGCGAGAUCCUGUGUCAAAAAAUAAUUUUGAUUUCACGGAAGGAGAAGAGGACUAGUCUUAUACCAUAUCCCAAAUGAAAUUGAAAAUGUCUUCUGGGAAUCACAGCAAUGACUCAAACUUCUGAAUAGUGACUAGGUUUGAGCUGGUAAGGAAGGGAUUGUCAAAUGCCGUGACAGUCCACAGGAGGGCAGCAGUGCUCCGAUUUACAAAGGAUUAGUCAUACUAGUGUAACCUUUUCUGAGUGAGCCUAGAAAUUCUGAUGAAAACAGUGUAGUCCAGGAAAAAAAAAAAAAAAAUCUGUAUGUACAAUCACUCAAUUUUGAAUCAUUUCUGGAAGUUAUUAGACUCCAUGUUAAAUCCUACUUAAGUACAAGUAUGCAAAAUUUAAAAAUAUGCAGAAAAGCUCAUUCUUGGUUAAAAUGUUAGCUGAAAGACAUUACUAAGUUUUAGAAUACCAUAGAGUUGACUAUUUCCCACAAACCCUAAAAUCUACUUGAACACCACAAAUUCAUAUUCCUUCUAAUCCCAAGUCCCUUCAGCAUUCUUACAGAUUUAUUGUUAGUUACCUUACAAAGUAACUAACUGUCCCCAUGUAUUUUAUCCCAAUUUAAAAAAUACAUUACAGUCUCAAGGUCACAUAAGAUUUUCCAAAAUGCUCUAUUCAUAGUCAAUAUAAUUUUCAGGCCGGGUGCGGUGGCUCAUGCCUGUAAUCCCAGCACUUUGGGAGGCCAAGGUGGGCGGAUCACCUGAGGUUGGGAGUUCGAGACCAGCCUGACCAACAUGGAGAAACCCCGUCUCUACUAAAAAUACAAAAUUAGCCAGACGCGGUGGUGCAUGCCUGUAAUCCCAGCUACUCAGGAGGCUGAGUCAGGAGAAUCGCUUGAACCCAGAAGGUGGAAGCUGUGGUGAGCCGAGAUAGUGCCAUUGCACUCCAGCCUGGGCAACAAGAUCGAAACUCCAUCUCAAAAUAUGUGUGUGUGUGUGUGUGUGUGUGUGUGUGUGUGUGUAUAUAUAUAUAUAUAUAUAUACACACACACACAUAUAUAUAUAAUUUUCACCUAGUGUUUUAUUAAACAGAAUGCUUCUGUAUUUUUAUGUUUAUUUGAGACAAUGCUUCUGUAUUUCUAAACAACAGCUAGCCUUGUUCAGUUAGCCAAACAACAAAACCUUAAUUCAAGUCUUCAAUGAAAUUUUCUGAUUUAAUAGGCUGAAUUAAGAAAGCCAUAAUUUUCUUCUAUAAAUAUAAGCCUUUAACUUCUAUCUUUACAAGUUUAUAUAGAAAAAUUUACUGUGGGGCUUGAGAUUUACUAAUGCAUGGGUUUUCAACCUUAGCUGCACUUUGGAAUCAUUUAGGACGCUUGGAAAUCCCUACACCCAAACCACAUCCCAGAUCAAUUACACUAGAAAUCUCUAGGGGUGGGACCCAGGUGUCUGUAAAUAUCCCCCGGUGAUUGCAAUGUGCAGCCAUGGUUGAGAAACACUGAAGCCUGCUCUGAGAAAUUUAGCAAUCCGACUUAAUUCAAAUCUGCAGAGAGAGCAACAAUGAUUUUUGCAGAAACAACCAAAUCCUACUAGUUACAUAAAUUUUAUACUUUGUUAGGACUUGGGUUUUUAUUUAGCUCUACAUAUGCGAUCAUAGGAUGCAGAAGAUAUAUCUUCUACUGGACACGUAUAUAUAGAUGCUUAAAUGUGGCUAUCCCAAGGUUAGGUAAUAAUAAAGACUAUAAGAGCUGGGCAGAAAUCAGGCACAGUUUCAUGAAGGGUAAUAUCUGAGCUGGGCCUUGGAAGAUGCAUAGGAUCUCAACAGGACAGUAGGUGUUUCAAGCAACAAUGAACUAGGAAUACAGCAGAAAGCACAGGGGAAAUGGUCAGGCUUGACUGAGAGUAGGUUAUUUGAAGAAGUGCAAUAGAAAAUGCUUGGGGAAGAAAGUUGGGAUUUAAUUGUAAAAGGUCUUCAAGUAUCAGGCUAAGAAAUGUGGACUUCAUCCAGUAGGUAAUGUGAUGUCACUGGAUAUCUGUGCAGUAUCUAUGUGAUGGGUUGGGAGUGGAGAAGCCUGGGGAUACUUAAGGGUCUGAGCUAGGAGGGACAGGAGGAAUGGCUGUGGGAGUGGAAUGGUUAGAAGAUGGGCCCAAUUAGAAACAUACUUCAAUUUGAGACAAAACCCACUAGAAAUAAACACAUCAUCAUGAAACAUCUCCAAAUGUACAAU
Molecule: long non-coding RNA, 11231 nt
Filed under: Homo sapiens (human)
Lineage: Eukaryota; Metazoa; Chordata; Mammalia; Primates; Hominidae
Description: non-protein coding MIR29B2CHG:78
Rfam family: mir-29 microRNA precursor family (bases 4204-4274)
Source: RNAcentral